This 544-nucleotide ribosomal RNA is filed under the name Pagurus minutus. RNAcentral's name for it is "partial small subunit ribosomal RNA". It matches the Rfam family "Bacterial large subunit ribosomal RNA", at positions 1831 to 2625 of the family's 2925-position model. Lineage: Eukaryota; Metazoa; Arthropoda; Malacostraca; Decapoda; Paguridae. The record is from RNAcentral.
GUCUAUAUGAAGGUGUAUAUAGUUUGGCCUGCUCACUGAUUAUAUUAAAGAGCCGCAGUAUUUUGACUGUGCGAAGGUAGCAUAAUAAAUUGUCUUUUAAAUGGAGGCUUGAAUGAAAGGUUGGACAAAGUGUCAUCUGUUUCUUAAAUACUUAUUGAAUUUGACUUUCAAGUGAAAAGGCUUGAAUAAAUUAAAAAGACGAUAAGACCCUAUAAAUCUUUACAAUAAAUAUGUUUUAUAUUUUUAUUUAUAAAGUGAAUAAAAUAUUAAGUUUGUAGUUGUUUCGCUGGGGCGGCGUAGAUAUAUAAACUAACUGUCUAUAUUUUAAAUACAAUAAUUAUUGAUUAAUAAAAUUGAUCCUUAAAUAGAUUAAAAGAUUAAGAUACUUUAGGGAUAACAGCGUUAUUUUUUCUGAGAGUUCUUAUCGAAGAAAAAGUUUGCGACCUCGAUGUUGAAUUAAAGUAUCUUUAUGGUGCAGUCGCUAUAAGAGAGAGUCUGUUCGACUUUUAAUACUUUACAUGAUUUGAGUUCAGACCGGCGUGAG